This 458-nucleotide ribosomal RNA is filed under the name uncultured Thiobacillus sp. Its description in RNAcentral is "bacterial SSU rRNA". It matches the Rfam family "Bacterial small subunit ribosomal RNA", at positions 919 to 1382 of the family's 1533-position model. The record is from RNAcentral. Lineage: Bacteria; Pseudomonadati; Pseudomonadota; Betaproteobacteria; Nitrosomonadales; Thiobacillaceae.
ACCCGCACAAGCGGUGGAUGAUGUGGAUUAAUUCGAUGCAACGCGAAGAACCUUACCUACCCUUGACAUGUCCGGAACUUGCCAGAGAUGGCUUGGUGCCGAAAGGGAAUCGGAACACAGGUGCUGCAUGGCUGUCGUCAGCUCGUGUCGUGAGAUGUUGGGUUAAGUCCCGCAACGAGCGCAACCCUUAUCAUUAGUUGCUACGCAAGGGCACUCUAAUGAGACUGCCGGUGACAGACCGGAGGAAGGUGGGGAUGACGUCAAGUCCUCAUGGCCCUUAUGGGUAGGGCUUCACACGUCAUACAAUGGUCGGUACAGAGGGUUGCCAAGCCGCGAGGCGGAGCCAAUCCCACAAAGCCGAUCGUAGUCCGGAUUGUUCUCUGCAACUCGAGAGCAUGAAGUCGGAAUCGCUAGUAAUCGCAGGUCAGCAUACUGCGGUGAAUACGUUCCCGGGUCUU